CGGACGGGUGAGUAAUGCUUGGGAAUCUGGCUUAUGGAGGGGGAUAACUACGGGAAACUGUAGCUAAUACCGCGUAAUAUCUUCGGAUUAAAGGGUGGGACCGUAAGGCCACCUGCCAUAAGAUGAGCCCAAGUGGGAUUAGGUAGUUGGUGGGGUAAAGGCCUACCAAGCCGACGAUCUCUAGCUGGUCUGAGAGGAUGACCAGCCACACUGGAACUGAGACACGGUCCAGACUCCUACGGGAGGCAGCAGUGGGGAAUAUUGCACAAUGGGGGGAACCCUGAUGCAGCCAUGCCGCGUGAAUGAAGAAGGCCUUCGGGUUGUAAAGUUCUUUCGGUGAUGAGGAAGGCGGUUGUUUUAAUAGAACAAUCGAUUGACGUUAGUCACAGAAGAAGCACCGGCUAACUCCGUGCCAGCAGCCGCGGUAAUACGGAGGGUGCGAGCGUUAAUCGGAAUGACUGGGCGUAAAGGGCACGCAGGCGGUGACUUAAGUGAGAUGUGAAAGCCCCGGGCUUAACCUGGGAAUUGCAUUUCAUACUGGGUCGCUAGAGUAUUUUAGGGAGGGGUAGAAUUCCACGUGUAGCGGUGAAAUGCGUAGAGAUGUGGAGGAAUACCGAAGGCGAAGGCAGCCCCUUGGGAAUAUACUGACGCUCAUGUGCGAAAGCGUGGGGAGCAAACAGGAUUAGAUACCCUGGUAGUCCACGCUGUAAACGCUGUCGAUUUGGGGAUUGGGCUUUAAGCUUGGUGCCCGUAGCUAACGUGAUAAAUCGACCG
This 774-nucleotide ribosomal RNA is filed under the name uncultured Actinobacillus sp. Its description in RNAcentral is "bacterial SSU rRNA". It matches the Rfam family "Bacterial small subunit ribosomal RNA", at positions 99 to 871 of the family's 1533-position model. The record is from RNAcentral. Lineage: Bacteria; Pseudomonadati; Pseudomonadota; Gammaproteobacteria; Pasteurellales; Pasteurellaceae.